Molecule: long non-coding RNA, 326 nt
Organism: Pseudophryne corroboree (corroboree frog)
Lineage: Eukaryota; Metazoa; Chordata; Amphibia; Anura; Myobatrachidae
Exons: 3
Source: RefSeq, a predicted model, not a curated record
AGAUGCUGCAGAAAUGGUGAAAGGAGGCAAAAGAGGCUGCUCUAUGAGGACUGUGCGAGAAAUGUCAGACUCAGACAUAGAAAAUCUCAUUGCCACAAUGUGGUGUCAUCGUCCUGCUAGGAAUAUUGGCUGAAAGUAUUGUAUUUUGGAUGUCCAGUUUGUUGUCUAAACAACCAGGCUAACUUUAAGCUCAAUAAAAUGACAACACAGGAACUAUGAACUUACAUUAGUGUUAUGAGCUUGUUAACAUAAAACCCAAUUCAUUUUGAUUAAUUCAUAUUACUUUAAUAAAAAGUAAUGUUUAAUAAACUAAUGGAAAAGUAUAA